UACGUAGGGAGCAAGCGUUGUCCGGAAUCAUUGGGCGUAAAGCGCGCGUAGGUGGCCUCAUAAGUCCGCUGUGAAAGUCAAAGGCUCAACCUUUGAAAGCCGGUGGAUACUGUGAGGCUAGAGUACGGAAGAGGCGAGUGGAAUUCCUGGUGUAGCGGUGGAAUGCGUAGAUAUCAGGAGGAACACCAAUAGCGAAGGCAGCUCGCUGGGACGUUACUGACACUGAGGCGCGAAAGCGUGGGGAGCGAACAGG
Molecule: ribosomal RNA, 253 nt
Filed under: uncultured bacterium
Lineage: Bacteria
Description: partial 16S ribosomal RNA
Rfam family: Bacterial small subunit ribosomal RNA
Source: RNAcentral